UAAUACGUAGGGGGCGAGCGUUAUCCGGAUUCAUUGGGCGUAAAGCGCGCGUAGGCGGCCCGUUAGGUCGGGAGUCAAAUCCGGGGGCUCAACCCCCGUCCGCUCCCCGAUACCGGCGGGCUUGAGUCUGGUAGGGGAAGGUGGAACUCCGAGUGUAGCGGUGGAAUGCGCAGAUAUUCGGAAGAACACCGGUGGCGAAGGCGGCCUUCUGGGCCACGACUGACGCUGAGGCGCGAAAGCUAGGGGAGCGAACAGGAUUAGAUACCCUGGUAGUCCUAGCCGUAAACGAUGGGCACUAGGUGUGGGGGGACGAUCCCUCCGUGCCGCAGCUAACGCAUUAAGUGCCCCGCCUGGGGAGUACGGCCGCAAGGCUAAAACUCAAAGGAAUUGACGGGGGCCCGCACAAGCAGCGGAGCAUGUGGCUUAAUUCGAAGCAACGCGAAGAACCCUUACCAGGGCUCGACAUUCAGGUGAAGCGGCGGAAACGUCGUGGCCUAACGGAGCCUGAACAGGUGGUGCAUGGCUGUCGUCAG
RNAcentral lists this ribosomal RNA (533 nucleotides) under uncultured Olsenella sp. RNAcentral's name for it is "bacterial SSU rRNA". It matches the Rfam family "Bacterial small subunit ribosomal RNA", at positions 521 to 1058 of the family's 1533-position model. Lineage: Bacteria; Bacillati; Actinomycetota; Coriobacteriia; Coriobacteriales; Atopobiaceae. The record is from RNAcentral.